AGCAGCCGCGGUAAUUCCAGCUCCAAUAGCGUAUAUUAAAGUUGUUGCAGUUAAAAAGCUCGUAGUUGAAUUUCGGGAUCAGUACGCUGGUCGUGCCUUUGGUAUGUACUGGUGUCACUGAUUCCUCCCUUCUGAAGAACCGUUAUGCCAUUUAUUUGGUGUGGCGGGGAAUCAGGACUGUUACUUUGAAAAAAUUAGAGUGUUUAAAGCAGGCUCGCGCUUGAAUACAUUAGCAUGGAAUAAUGAAAUAGGACGUUUGAUCUUAUUUUGUUGGUUUCUAGGAUCGACGUAAUGAUUAAUAGGGAUAGUUGGGGGCAUUAGUAUUCAAUUGUCAGAGGUGAAAUUCUUGGAUUUAUUGAAGACUAACUACUGCGAAAGCAUUUGCCAAGGAUGUUUUCAUUAAUCAAGAACGAAAGUUAGGGGAUCGAAGACGAUCAGAUACCGUCGUAGUCUUAACCAUAAACUAUGCCGACUAGGGAUCGGAUGAUGUUAUUUUUAAUGACUCAUUCGG
This 511-nucleotide ribosomal RNA is filed under the name uncultured Glomus. RNAcentral describes it as "SSU rRNA". It matches the Rfam family "Eukaryotic small subunit ribosomal RNA", at positions 569 to 1083 of the family's 1831-position model. Lineage: Eukaryota; Fungi; Glomeromycota; Glomeromycetes; Glomerales; Glomeraceae. The record is from RNAcentral.